This 142-nucleotide long non-coding RNA is filed under the name Ictidomys tridecemlineatus (thirteen-lined ground squirrel). RNAcentral's name for it is "lncRNA (ENSSTOG00000031521.1)". The record is from RNAcentral. Lineage: Eukaryota; Metazoa; Chordata; Mammalia; Rodentia; Sciuridae.
CCACUGAUCUAGAUUUUUCCUUUCAUUCUCUUUCCCAGAUAACUGUUCAGAUGUCUAAGAACCUUGCUUGAUGAGCAGACACUUGAGAUCCUAAUGAGAUCAGGAAUCUUUGCAACAUCAUCUUCUAAAGGACUUCAGAAUC